Molecule: ribosomal RNA, 1079 nt
Filed under: uncultured Aurantimicrobium sp.
Lineage: Bacteria; Bacillati; Actinomycetota; Actinomycetes; Micrococcales; Microbacteriaceae
Description: bacterial SSU rRNA
Rfam family: Bacterial small subunit ribosomal RNA
Source: RNAcentral
AUGCAGCAAACGCCGCGUGAGGGAUGACGGCCUUCCGGGUGUAAACCUCUUUUUAGCAGGGAAGAAGCGAAAGUGACGGUACCUGCAGAAAAAAGCGCCGGGCUAACUACGUGCCAGCAGCCGCGGUAAUACGUAGGGCGCAAGCGUUAUCCGGGAAUUAUUGGGCGUAAAGAGCUCGUAGGCGGUUUGUCGCGUCUGCUGUGAAAUCCCGAGGCUCAACCUCGGGCCUGCAGUGGGUACGGGCAGACUAGAGUGCGGUAGGGGAGAUUGGAAUUCCUGGUGUAGCGGUGGAAUGCGCAGAUAUCAGGAGGAACACCGAUGGCGAAGGCAGAUCUCUGGGCCGUAACUGACGCUGAGGAGCGAAAGGGUGGGGAGCAAACAGGCUUAGAUACCCUGGUAGUCCACCCCGUAAACGUUGGGAACUAGUUGUGGGGACCAUUCCACGGUUUCCGUGACGCAGCUAACGCAUUAAGUUCCCCGCCUGGGGAGUACGGCCGCAAGGCUAAAACUCAAAGGAAUUGACGGGGACCCGCACAAGCGGCGGAGCAUGCGGAUUAAUUCGAUGCAACGCGAAGAACCUUACCAAGGCUUGACAUAUACGAGAACGGGCCAGAAAUGGUCAACUCUUUGGACACUCGUAAACAGGUGGUGCAUGGUUGUCGUCAGCUCGUGUCGUGAGAUGUUGGGUUAAGUCCCGCAACGAGCGCAACCCUCGUUCUAUGUUGCCAGCACGUAAUGGUGGGAACUCAUGGGAUACUGCCGGGGUCAACUCGGAGGAAGGUGGGGAUGACGUCAAAUCAUCAUGCCCCUUAUGUCUUGGGCUUCACGCAUGCUACAAUGGCCGGUACAAAGGGCUGCAAUACCGUGAGGUGGAGCGAAUCCCAAAAAGCCGGUCCCAGUUCGGAUUGAGGUCUGCAACUCGACCUCAUGAAGUCGGAGUCGCUAGUAAUCGCAGAUCAGCAACGCUGCGGUGAAUACGUUCCCGGGUCUUGUACACACCGCCCGUCAAGUCAUGAAAGUCGGUAACACCUGAAGCCGGUGGCCCAACCCUUGUGGAGGAGCCGUCGAAGUGAUCCGUG